GAUGAACGCUGGCGGCGUGCCUAAUACAUGCAAGUCGAGCGAACUGAUGAGAAGCUUGCUUCUCUGAUGUUAGCGGCGGACGGGUGAGUAACACGUGGAUAACCUACCUAUAAGACUGGGAUAACUUCGGGAAACCGGAGCUAAUACCGGAUAAUAUUUUGAACCGCAUGGUUCAAAAGUGAAAGACGGUCUUGCUGUCACUUAUAGAUGGAUCCGCGCUGCAUUAGCUAGUUGGUAAGGUAACGGCUUACCAAGGCAACGAUGCAUAGCCGACCUGAGAGGGUGAUCGGCCACACUGGAACUGAGACACGGUCCAGACUCCUACGGGAGGCAGCAGUAGGGAAUCUUCCGCAAUGGGCGAAAGCCUGACGGAGCAACGCCGCGUGAGUGAUGAAGGUCUUCGGAUCGUAAAACUCUGUUAUUAGGGAAGAACAUAUGUGUAAGUAACUGUGCACAUCUUGACGGUACCUAAUCAGAAAGCCACGGCUAACUACGU
Molecule: ribosomal RNA, 496 nt
Filed under: uncultured bacterium
Lineage: Bacteria
Description: partial 16S ribosomal RNA
Rfam family: Bacterial small subunit ribosomal RNA
Source: RNAcentral